GCCAGUGUGGUGCAGCAAAAUGCGUGUUGGACUAGGGCUCUGGAGACCAGGGUUCGAAUCCCAGCUCAGUCA
Molecule: non-coding RNA, 72 nt
Organism: Phrynosoma platyrhinos (Desert horned lizard)
Lineage: Eukaryota; Metazoa; Chordata; Lepidosauria; Squamata; Phrynosomatidae
Source: the annotation of a GenBank genome assembly